Molecule: ribosomal RNA, 1257 nt
Filed under: uncultured bacterium
Lineage: Bacteria
Description: bacterial SSU rRNA
Rfam family: Bacterial small subunit ribosomal RNA
Source: RNAcentral
AGUGGCGCACGGGUGAGGAACACGUAGCUGACCUGCCCUGGAGCGCGGGAUAACCCUGGGAAACGAGGGCUAAGACCGCCUACGCUCGGCGGCUGUAGAGGCUGACGAGGAAAACCUUCGGGUGCUCUGGGAGGGGGCUGCGGCCCAUCAGGUGGUUGGUGGGGUAAUGGCCUACCAAGCCGACGACGGGUCGGGGGUCUGAGAGGAUGAUCCCCCACACUGGGACUGAGACACGGCCCAGACUCCUACGGGAGGCAGCAGUGAGGAAUCUUGCACAAUGGGGGCAACCCUGAUGCAGCGACGCCGCGUGGGCGAUGAAGGUCUUCGGAUCGUAAAGCCCUUUUUCUGCGUGACGAGGAUGAAGGACGGUAGCGCAGGAAGAAGCGUCGGCUAACUACGUGCCAGCAGCCGCGGUAAAACGUAGGACGCAAGCGUUAUCCGGAGUUACUGGGCGUAAAGGGCGUGUAGGCGGUCGGACAAGUCCCCCGUGAAAGACUUCGGCUCAACCGGGGGAGGUCGGGGGAUACUGUCCGACUAGAGGAUGUCAGAGGGACACGGAAUUCCGGGUGUAGUGGUGAAAUGCGUAGAGAUCCGGAGGAACACCAGUGGCGCAGGCGGUGUCCUGGGGCGUACCUGACGCUGAGACGCGAAAGCAUGGGGAGCGAACGGGAUUAGAAACCCCGGUAGUCCAUGCCGUAAACGAUGCCGACUAGGGGUUCGGGGAGACCUGGGUCCCGCAGCUAACGCGCUAAGUCGGCCGCCUGGGGAGUACGGUCGCAAGGCUAAAACUCAAAGGAAUUGACGGGGGCCUGCACAAGCAGCGGAGCGUGUGGUUUAAUUCGAGGCUACACGAACAACCUUACCUGGGUUUGACAUGACGGUGGUAGGGAGCCGAAAGGGGACCGACCUUCGGGAGCCGUGACAGGUGCUGCAUGGCUGUCGUCAGCUCGUGUCGUGAGAUGUACGGUUAAGUCCGCAAACGAGCGCAACCCUCGGCAGUAGUUACACGUGUCUACUGCGACUGCCCUCGGCAAGGGGGAGGAAGGUGGGGAUGACGUCAAGUCAGCAUGGCCUUUAUAUCCAGGGCGACACACACGCUACAAUGGGCGGUACAAUGGGGAGCGAAGGCGCGAGCCGGAGCCAAUCCCGAAAGCCGUUCGUAGUUCGGAUUGCAGGCUGCAACUCGCCUGCAUGAAGGUGGAGUUGCUAGUAACCGUGGGUCAGCAAACUACGGUGAAUACGUUCCCGGGCCUUGCA